Molecule: long non-coding RNA, 664 nt
Organism: Sapajus apella (tufted capuchin)
Lineage: Eukaryota; Metazoa; Chordata; Mammalia; Primates; Cebidae
Exons: 3
Source: RefSeq, a predicted model, not a curated record
GGGCCUGAGGAGUCUUUGGCAGGCUCUUCCUUCUUAUGGAUGAGGUCAGAAUGGAGAACUAGGUCUCCUUGGGACCUUCAUCUCCUGUACUCCAGCCUGUCACGCAGGUCCUCAGACAGACACUGGUGCACAAAGAGACACCAACAUUUGAGUUUCUGCUCCCCAGGGCUAGAGUCUGAAUUUUCCCCAAGCAAAAUGCUGAAUGGAGACAAAAGUUUUGUACAAUUUUGUCCUCUUUCUCAGGUUGGACAUUGUCAUUCACCAUAGGGAUCAAAAGGGACUAAUGCUUUUGAGGUAAUGGGGAAGGCAUGUGAUGGGUUGUCCAGGGUGUCCUCAGUUUCUGCGUGUAGCUCCUUGCCUUUGAUCCUGCAAAGGGAAGAGGCAAGAGGGUUGGGGAUUUAACCAGACUCAAGGCUUAGAAAGAUAUUGAGAUCUGAUUUUUCUAGUUGAAGCAUAAGCUCUAUAAUCAGGAUGGGUGGUAGAUUAUAUUCUAGGACAUUCUUACAGUUCAACAUUGUCACAGUAAGCAAAUGCUGGAAUAUUUUUUAUUAAUGAGAGGGUCAAAAUUUUCUUCUCUUUCUUCCAUUGACAGUUUCAUAGAAACAACUAUGUUUUUGCACCUAGAUUUCAUUGGAUAGUAUUCAUUAAUGGAAAAUCUAGUUAA